This 497-nucleotide ribosomal RNA is filed under the name uncultured bacterium. Its description in RNAcentral is "partial 16S ribosomal RNA". It matches the Rfam family "Bacterial small subunit ribosomal RNA", at positions 28 to 507 of the family's 1533-position model. The record is from RNAcentral.
GAUGAACGCUGGCGGCGUGCCUAAUACAUGCAAGUCGAGCGAACAGAUGAGGAUCUUGCUCCUCUGACGUUAGCGGCGGACGGGUGAGUAACACGUGGAUAACCUACCUAUAAGACUGGGAUAACUUCGGGAAACCGGAGCUAAUACCGGAUAAUAUAUUGAACCGCAUGGUUCAAUAGUGAAAGACGGUUUUGCUGUCACUUAUAGAUGUAUCCGCGCCGCAUUAGCUAGUUGGUAAGGUAACGGCUUACCAAGGCAACGAUGCGUAGCCGACCUGAGAGGAUGAUCGGCCACACUGGAACUGAGACACGGUCCAGACUCCUACGGGAGGCAGCAGUAGGGAAUCUUCGGCAAUGGGCGAAAGCCUGACGGAGCAACGCCGCGUGAGGGAUGAAGGUCUUCGGAUCGUAAAACGCUGUUAUUAGGGAAGAACAAAUGUGUAAGUAACUAUGCACGUCUUGACGGUACCGGAUCAGAAAGCCACGGCUAACUACGUG